This 1402-nucleotide long non-coding RNA is filed under the name Fragaria vesca (wild strawberry). RNAcentral's name for it is "long non-coding RNA (FVES_LNC000750)". Lineage: Eukaryota; Viridiplantae; Streptophyta; Magnoliopsida; Rosales; Rosaceae. The record is from RNAcentral.
UGGUCAGACUGUGGCGAGGUCCCGCAGGAGGUUAAGGACAUGGUCCACAACGCGAUGUCGGUGAGUUUACAAAAUAAUAUUAUGUAUUACAUUGUUGAUUUCUCGAAAAACUAAACCAAUAAAUGGUUAAAUGCAGGUGUGGUUUGAGGUUCCCGAGCACCUGAAGGACAGCUGGGCCGACGUUGUGCAUGGGGGAAGGUACGUUGGGAAGUUAAUGAAAAACAAAAUUGUAUGUGAUAUUAAUAAUAUUUCUAAUAUUUUUGUUGUAUCUGUAGGUACAAGGAGUGGAAGAACGAGUUGCGGACCCACUGGACUACGCACGGGAACGCACGUUCUGGUACCCCUGCUGAGUUCCAGUACAGGGAGUACGAGUGGCGUUGGCUUCUGAUAUCAGAAUUCAACAACCCUCGUAAACAGGUAUUUAAAAAAAUUAAUUAGUUAAUUUGUCAUUAAGUACGUCCGUUUUUAAAUAUUUUACUAAUAAUUUAUUUUUUCUUUAAAGGCCGUUUCCUGAGCGAACUAUCAGAACCGGCAACGCAACACAAGGAACCAUCAUGGCGGUUCUAGACCGUUCGCUGUCUUCAUGGACGAAGCGGCCAGGGAACAUCCAAAAGUCAACCGGUACGUCUAUACGUACGAGAAGGCAUAUCCUGACACCCAAGAGGAUAUUGUAAGUCAUCUUACGUUUUUAAAUUUUUAAAUUUUUAAAUUUACUUAUAUAUAUGUCAAAAUGUUAAUUAAUAAUUUUUUUCCUAUCCAUAUAGGCGAAGGUGAGGGAGGCUAGUGACGAGGUGAUGAGUGCUAUAGUGAGGGAGACAUGGCCGGACACGCAGGAGGAAGAGAUGUCCGAAGCCAUGUCCCGGAUCGACAUUUCGGAUCCGACGAUUGGGGCGAGGAUCAUGGGCACAGCCUUCCCACCGAGAGCAAACAACUUCUACUGUCGGGGUCUAGGAAAGAAAGGCGAAGGGGUCCUAAAGACCACUCCAGGAUUUCAACGAAAUGCAGCCUCGACCAGCAGCAGGACCACGUCCACGACCACCAGGACGACUCAGCUAGAGUCGGAAGUUCAGAGACUACGAGAACAGCAAGCUGCUCAGGCUGCCUAUAAUACCUCGCAGGCAGCCUAUAAUACCGCGCAGGCAGCCUAUGUUGCCGAGAUACAUGCCAUCUAGCAGGCCCAGCAGCAACAGAUGUUCCAGUACAUGCAGGACUUUACAGCUGCCCAGCUUCAGGGACUUCCGGCUCCGCCCAUGCCUACGGCUAUACCGCUACCCCAGCCGCCGCAACCUCCGCAGCAACCUCCGCAGCAGCCCCCAGAAGCGGAUAUUAAUUUAGACGAUUUAGAUUUUGUGUAGUUGAUGAAUUAUAUAGUUUUAUGUGCUUGUUGUUGGUUAUAUGNNNN